This 253-nucleotide ribosomal RNA is filed under the name uncultured bacterium. Its description in RNAcentral is "partial 16S ribosomal RNA". It matches the Rfam family "Bacterial small subunit ribosomal RNA", at positions 524 to 776 of the family's 1533-position model. The record is from RNAcentral.
UACGGAGGGGGCUAGCGUUGUUCGGAAUUACUGGGCGUAAAGCGCACGUAGGCGGCUUUGUAAGUAAGAGGUGAAAGCCUGGAGCUCAACUCCAGAAUAGCCUUUUAGACUGCAUCGCUUGAAUCAUGGAGAGGUGAGUGGAAUUCCGAGUGUAGAGGUGAAAUUCGUAGAUAUUCGGAAGAACACCAGUGGCGAAGGCGGCUCACUGGACAUGUAUUGACGCUGAGGUGCGAAAGCGUGGGGAGCAAACAGG